Molecule: ribosomal RNA, 453 nt
Filed under: uncultured bacterium
Lineage: Bacteria
Description: bacterial SSU rRNA
Rfam family: Bacterial small subunit ribosomal RNA
Source: RNAcentral
AGUCCAGACUCCUACGGGAGGCAGCAGUGGGGAAUAUUGGGCAAUGGGCGCAAGCCUGACCCAGCAACGCCGCGUGAAGGAAGAAGGCUUUCGGGUUGUAAACUUCUUUUAUGAGGGACGAAACAAAUGACGGUACCUCAUGAAUAAGCCACGGCUAACUACGUGCCAGCAGCCGCGGUAAUACGUAGGUGGAAAGCGUUAUCCGGAUUUACUGGGUGUAAAGGGCGUGUAGGCGGGAGAGCAAGUCAGAAGUGUAAUUCCAGGGCUCAACCCUGGAACUGCGUUUGAAACUGUUCUUCUUGAGUGAUGGAGAGGCAGGCGGAAUUCCGUGUGUAGCGGUGAAAUGCGUAGAUAUACGGAGGAACACCAGUGGCGAAGGCGGCCUGCUGGGCAUUAACUGACGCUGAGGCGCGAAAGCGUGGGGAGCAAACAGGAUUAGAUACCCCCGUAAGA